This 21-nucleotide non-coding RNA is filed under the name Rattus norvegicus (Norway rat). Lineage: Eukaryota; Metazoa; Chordata; Mammalia; Rodentia; Muridae. The record is from RNAcentral.
CGGGAAUUUUCUUGGUGCUAU